This 205-nucleotide unclassified non-coding RNA is filed under the name Hevea brasiliensis (rubber tree). The record is from RNAcentral. Lineage: Eukaryota; Viridiplantae; Streptophyta; Magnoliopsida; Malpighiales; Euphorbiaceae.
AGUAGAGAUUUUAUUUCCAUCAUUAGACAAUUUUAAAGCCUUAGCAAUCAACUCAACAGAAAUGACAUACGCAUUAUCAUUCAAGGGGACUUCAAAUUUGUCUUCUUCAUCAACUAUUUUUAGAGUUCUAUAGAAUUCUUGAACCAAUCUAGGAUAAUAAGCAUUAGUGCAUUCACAAACGUUCAUCCAUUCUUGAAAUUCAAAG